Long non-coding RNA from Suricata suricatta (meerkat), 3199 nucleotides. Lineage: Eukaryota; Metazoa; Chordata; Mammalia; Carnivora; Herpestidae. The record is from Ensembl.
AGUCACCUGGCAUCUGGAGCCCUGACACAUUCAGUCUCUUCCAUAGACUCUAAAGCCAGGUUUGAUGGGAGCUCCCACCUGUCCAGACAGUGUGCAAAGCACCAGAAGUAGAGGCCUACAAGCCUGCUUCUCUCCAUCUUCAUUGUCCAGAACCAGGCAGGUCAUCAGCUUCCUGUGCCCACCUCUGCCCUUCUUGCUGCCAGCACAGACUUGCAGAACUCAAGAUGAUCCAGUGGAGGUUUGCAGCUUGAAUGGCUGGAGGACAACCCAGGACACCCCAAAAAAGAUAUGGAAAUGGAGACUGAGAGAGGAGAAAUCAGUUCCUGGGUUUGGAGAGCUCCUGGGAACACAAGGAAAGGUAGGUAGAUAGGCAUCUAGGUAGAGUGUGGGGAGGAGUGUCAAGGGGAGAGGGUUGGCAGGAUUAUUAUUGGAGUCUCUUGUCUCUGGCCUCCAAGUCUUAGAAGCAACUUAGGGGAGUUAGGCAGGUGCAGUAUUGAGGGAACAUUUCUCUCGUACAGGUCCAGAGGUCAUUUCAUCCCUUCCCUUGCUCCUCAGCAGACAGAUCUCCAACAGUCUGUCACUCUCAUAGGAUUUUACUGUACUAUACUCUUAUACCCUGUAAAGUCCACAGGGAACAUACCAACUAUCCCAGUUCCUGAACCAAAAAAUAAAUCUCCCAAAGGUGACUAAAUAUUAAGGUGUUUUUUUUAGAUCUUAUCACUAAUUUCCUUGUCAGGGUAUCAACUACUAGACAAAAUUAUGCCCAGAAACAUAGAGAGUAGCCUUCUAUCUCCUGUCCCAUGUGUAGGCCUAAAACAGAGAGAGGAUUAAAACUCAAGGCUCUGGAAUCCAAGUCACAAAUGCCUCUGAAUUUCAUGCAGUAUCAUGGCCCAGAGCACUUAGUCAAGACCUGUCUGGCUUUGUGCGGUAUUGGUGCACAGGGCAGAGAAGGCAGGGCAUGUUUCCAACUGUCCACCAAACCCUGCUCCCUCCUUCCUUUACUGUUUAGACACUAGAGUUAAGGUAGGAAAGAAUGAAGGAGAAAAGGGUAUUCCCACGAGGUGGCCAGAAGUAGCAUUUCCCGGCAUCUUCUUCCUUCCUCAAAAUAAUCACGAUUCUUUGUUCUGUGCUUCAGGAGACUAAGUUGGAGUCAGGGCAAGGGUGGGAGAUCUUGGAAAGCAACAUUAGUAGAAACUUCAUCACACUCUUCAACGCCCCCCAGCACCUUUCCCCCACUCCCAGAAUUGUCUUCUCUAUCUUAGGGUCCAGAGUCCCUGAGGAAGAGCAGUCUCUAAGUGCCUCACACUCACGCCUUAUCUGUAGACCUUCAGGGUCAUCUCCUUGGUUCUCUGAUUCUCUGGCUUCUCUACAAACAAUAAGUGAGAAGGACCCUUUGCAUUCCCCCCCCCCCCCGAAAUAAUCCAUCUAGCUCUUCCUCUACUUCCAAGGCCUGUAGUAGUAAGAGCUGGGAGAACUGUGCCAGGAAUUGAAAAGGAUGAUUCUCUUGUCUGGGAAAGUCAGGGAGAAGACAGACAGGGGAAAUUUGGGAACUGAGGACUUUAGUCCCAUCUGUGGGGCUGGCUGCCUAACCUAGAGGGGUGGCAUCAUACUGAAUAUUAUUCAUGAGAUUAAUUAUUAGAGGCUCCUGUUUAUAGAACUGUUGUUUCUCUUUUGAAACACAGAGCAGUGGAGAACAGCAAAGGAGGAGGAGAAAGGGUGUCAGGCUUUCUGUAGGCCCUUUCUCAACCCUUGUGCAGCCUCGGUCCAACAUUAGAGGCAUAUUGGAGGGUCCAAAAGGCCCUGAAAGUAUUCAGUCUAGAUUCUGGAUGUUUCUCUAAGGAAUGAGGCUUCCAUCCCCACAGUCCCCAUCAGCCCUGCCUUAUACUCCCAAGGUGUAGGCAGGGGUGCCAGAUCUAUAGCCCCAGAGUCAGAGCCUGGAGACUGGAGGCCACAAGGAAUGCUGAGUCUUUGCUGGGAAAGAGGAGUAGACUUGAAGUAAGUGGGAGGCAGAGGUAACAGCAUCCAGAAUCUCCUGCACUUUGGAGAAAAAUGAGCUCAGUGUUAGCCCAGGGUUUAGCUUUUAUUCUGAUGGGACUCCGCCUUUCCUCCUUCUUCCUCAGUGUGUCCCAUGGGUUGGUAAGACAUCUCGAUGUCUGAACCUCCCACCUGACACCUUGAAGUUGUUAUAGCCCCUCUCUAGUUCCCAAAGCCAUGGAGGGCGGGGGGAGGAAGGCCUCUCAGAGGCAUCAGUACCCAGGGAGAGAGGCCAGGGGAAGAAAGAGUGACCAGAGAGGGAGCCAGGAGGAGAUGCCUGCUCUUGAAACAGCCUCCUUAUUCUAUCCUGUCCUGCACCCCCUCUCACAUGCUAACAAGGCACUGUGCCCAAGUGUGCCAGCUCUUCUGGAUGGUGAUCCUGCUCUGCUACGCAGGCAGCCCGGCUCUCUGCUCUAGCACAGAGCACAUGCUAGGGUCUCUCACAGUUCUUUGCUCGCUCACCUCAAUGUGUUUGUAUUACAGAUUCUAGGGAUGAAAGUGAAGGCUGUGCAUAGCAAUGGGGGCAGCUCAUGAAAACAACAGAGGGGAAGAGGCUUCAGGCUUAUUAGAGCUCUCUUUUGCCCCAAUUCUCUCCCACUCUGAGCUGUGUGGAUAAAGGUCUCUCAUCUGGAUUGUGGGGAAAGGAGAGGCCCCAGGUACUAAAGAAUGGAGGGAAAUGGGAGAGAAGAGAUCAAGGAAGGCUGAGCAUUCCCAGGAAGAGGCUUCCCAGUGAGGAGGGGAUAGGAGAGGCCAGGAUAGUAGGAUACUAUUGUGUCCUUUGGCUGCACAGAGGAUAUUGGGCAUUCACAUGUGUGGGCCGACACAGCCACUGCUCCCUGGAAGGAUUGCCACUUGGUCUCAGUUCUCUCUUCCCUGGAAACAGACACCAUAGAUCUUCAAAGGUGCUGAUUCCCUUUUCUCUUACAAGCCAGGUGGGCAAUGCAUCCUCUCCAUCCUUUCUGAAUCAGGGGGAUGAUAGGAUAUUGUGUUUGAGAUCACAUCAGCAGAAAAUGGCCAGAAGGUGGACCAGGGGAACCAUUCAUGCCUCUGACCACAGUCCCAGGGGCCUCCUUAUUUCAGCAAAGGGAAACAGAGAUCUUUGAUACUAGUGUAUCCAGAUAAUACUUUCCCUCUAACCUCAGUGACGGUUGAGCUAAGAGGAGAA